Molecule: long non-coding RNA, 1186 nt
Organism: Cyprinus carpio (common carp)
Lineage: Eukaryota; Metazoa; Chordata; Actinopteri; Cypriniformes; Cyprinidae
Exons: 4
Source: RefSeq, a predicted model, not a curated record
GCCCUAGUGCACAUCGUUUGUGUGGCCUUGCGCUUUUUUGCUAGUGGAGCCUUCCUGUACUCAGUGGGGGAUGCAGAACAGCUGAACAAGGCCACAAUUUGCCGCACAAUAAGGAGUGUGUGUCUGGCUAUCAAAGCAUUAGCAGAUGUCUUCAUCUCCUUCCCUGGCCACAGAAGACUCUGUGACAUGAAAGAGGAGUUCUAUAGGAUUGCAGGUUUCCCCAAUGUCAUUGGUGCAGUGGACUGCACACACAUAAGGAUAAAAGCCCCCUCAGGUGCCCAUGAGGCCGAUUUUGUGAAUAGGAAAUCCUUUCACAGCAUUAAUGUUCAGAUGGUCUGCAAUGCUGACUGAGUGAUCAGCAAUGUUGUGGCAAAAUGGCCUGGCUCAGUCCAUGACUCCAGAAUCUUUCGGGCCUCUGAAAUCUAUCAGUGCCUAUCACAAGGUGAAUUCUCUGGUGUGUUGCUGGGAGACAGGGGGUAUGGCCGCCAGCCUUUUCUCCUGACACCUUUCACAGACCCCCAGGAAGCACAGCAGGCCUACAACCAUGCCCAUGCCAGGACCAGGGCCAGAGCUGAAAUGACCUUUGGCCUCCUGAAGGCACGCUUUCACUGCCUUCACAAAUUAAGGGUCAACCUUAAUUCUCAUGUGAUAUUACUGUGGCUUGUGCUGUCCUCCACAAUGUGGCCUGCCUGAGGAAGGAGAGGGCCCCCAGAGUGCCACCAGCCAUGGACUGGGACAAUCUUCCCUGAUGACGACAGUGGUCGGCUGCUGAGGGACCAAUAUGUGUUGAAUUAUUUUAGUUGGUAUGUGUGCUUUCAAUUUAGGUAAAAAAUGUCCUGCUGUGGCAGAGGAAAUAGGGUUUUUUUGGGUUGUUUUUUUUUACGAAUUUGGCCUCUUAUGAUGUUUGUGCGGUAUACUGUGUGUAAUACAAGGCUGCAGGGAGGCUACUGCAUCCAUUCAUUUGUCUGUUCAGCUGAUGUGUAUGGAUUUGUCCUGCAUUUAUUUUAGUGUGCAGACAUGCAGGGUGUGUUAUAUACAGACCUUUGAAUGUGUAUGUAUCAUUUUGUAUAAUAUGCUUUGAUUCUGUGCUUUCCAUCUUGUAGAGUCACUGUGACUUCAGUUUCGAAAGGAGCUGAUAGUUUACCUGCUUUGUUUUGUCCUUAUUCAAUAAAGGAACAUAAUGUUA